Molecule: ribosomal RNA, 500 nt
Filed under: uncultured bacterium
Lineage: Bacteria
Description: partial 16S ribosomal RNA
Rfam family: Bacterial small subunit ribosomal RNA
Source: RNAcentral
AUUGAACGCUGGCGGCAUGCCUUACACAUGCAAGUCGAACGGCAGCACGGGAGCAAUCCUGGUGGCGAGUGGCGAACGGGUGAGUAAUGUAUCGGAACGUGCCUAGUCGUGGGGGAUAACGUAGCGAAAGCUACGCUAAUACCGCAUACGAUCUACGGAUGAAAGCGGGGGAUCGAAAGACCUCGUGCGAUUGGAGCGGCCGAUAUCGGAUGAGGUAGUUGGUGGGGUAAAGGCCCACCAAGCCAACGAUCUGUAGCUGGUCUGAGAGGACGACCAGCCACACUGGGACUGAGACACGGCCCAGACUCCUACGGGAGGCAGCAGUGGGGAAUUUUGGACAAUGGGCGAAAGCCUGAUCCAGCAAUGCCGCGUGCAGGACGAAGGCCUUCGGGUUGUAAACUGCUUUUGUACGGAGCGAAAAGGUCUUCUCUAAUACAGGGGGCUCAUGACGGUACCGUAAGAAUAAGCACCGGCUAACUACGUGCCAGCCGCCGCGGUAA